CCUACGGGGGGCAGCAGUGAGGAAUAUUGGUCAAUGGACGAGAGUCUGAACCAGCCAAGUAGCGUGAAGGAUGACUGCCCUAUGGGUUGUAAACUUCUUUUAUAUGGGAAUAAAACGUUCCACGUGUGGGAUUUUGUAUGUACCAUAUGAAUAAGGAUCGGCUAACUCCGGGCCAGCAGCCGCGGUAAUACGGAGGAUCCGAGCGUUAUCCGGAUUUAUUGGGUUUAAAGGGAGCGUAGGUGGAUUGUUAAGUCAGUUGUGAAAGUUUGCGGCUCAACCGUAAAAUUGCAGUUGAAACUGGCAGUCUUGAGUACAGUAGAGGUGGGCGGAAUUCGUGGUGUAGCGGUGAAAUGCUUAGAUAUCACGAAGAACUCCGAUUGCGAAGGCAGUUCACUGGACUGCAACUGACACUGAGGCUCGAAAGUGUGGGUAUCAAACAGGAUUAGAUACCCGUGUAGUC
Molecule: ribosomal RNA, 460 nt
Filed under: uncultured bacterium
Lineage: Bacteria
Description: partial 16S ribosomal RNA
Rfam family: Bacterial small subunit ribosomal RNA
Source: RNAcentral